RNAcentral lists this ribosomal RNA (524 nucleotides) under Zoanthus coppingeri. RNAcentral describes it as "partial 16S ribosomal RNA". It matches the Rfam family "Bacterial large subunit ribosomal RNA", at positions 1962 to 2488 of the family's 2925-position model. The record is from RNAcentral. Lineage: Eukaryota; Metazoa; Cnidaria; Anthozoa; Zoantharia; Zoanthidae.
UAAUCAAUAGCCAAUUAAUUGUUGGCCAGUAUGAAUGGCGCCACGAAGGCCCCACUGUCUUAAGGAAAUUCCCAGUGAAAUUGAAUUCGUAGUGAAGAUGCUACGUCCAAUUUGUUAGACGAAAAGACCCCGUUGAGCUUUACUGGAGCACUUACAUGGCCCCGGCCUUCCCAUGCCUGGGAACCGGCCGAAUUUAAAUGGGCGGCUUAGAUUAUGUGGCAGCCCCCCGCUGGGGCAAAUGAAACACCACUCCCCCAUGUCAAAGGGGCUAACCCCCCCCCCUUGGGGGGACAGUGUAAGUAGGACAGUUUGGUUGGGGCGACCACCUUUUAAAAAGUAACGAAGGUGCGCUUAAGGUGCGCAAUUAAUGACUGAAGCCUGACUGCGAGGGGGACACCCCGAGCAGACACCCCAAAGCCCGCCCAAAAGGCGGCGGUGGGGUGGGCCAUAGUGACCCGUUAAUUUAGAGUGGAAUAGUUAACGAUCAACGAAUAAAAGUUACCACGGGGAUAACAGCGUAAUAU